Molecule: ribosomal RNA, 373 nt
Filed under: uncultured organism
Description: partial 16S ribosomal RNA
Rfam family: Bacterial small subunit ribosomal RNA
Source: RNAcentral
GUAGGUGGCAAGCGUUGUCCGGAAUUAGUGGGCGUAAAGCGCGCGCAGGCGGUUCUUUAAGUCUGAUGUGAAAGCCCACGGGCUCAACCGUGGAGGGUCAUUGGAAACUGGAGAACUUGAGUACAGAAGAGGAAAGCGGAAUUCCACGUGUAGCGGUGAAAUGCGUAGAGAUGUGGAGGAACACCAGUGGCGAAGGCGGCUUUCUGGUCUGUAACUGACGCUGAGGCGCGAAAGCGUGGGGAGCAAACAGGAUUAGAUACCCUGGUAGUCCACGCCGUAAACGACGAGUGCUAAGUGUUAGGGGGUUUCCGCCCCUUAGUGCUGCAGCUAACGCAUUAAGCACUCCGCCUGGGGAGUACGGCCGCAAAGGCUG